CGAUUCCCAAAUAGGUCAACCUUUUAAACUGCCUGCUGAAUCCAUGAGCAGGCAAGAGACAACCUGGCGAACUGAAACAUCUUAGUAGCCAGAGGAAAAGAAAGCAAAAGCGAUUCCCGUAGUAGCGGCGAGCGAAAUGGGAGCAGCCUAAACCGUGAAAACGGGGUUGUGGGAGAGCAAUACAAGCGUUGUGCUGCUAGGCGAAGCUAUACGUACUAGUUUUCUUGGUUUUGGGAAGGUUAUGUAAGGUUUUGCACUAUUUUGUUUUGUGUGUUUCUUUGUCGGUUUCUCAAGUCUUUUUGGGUUACUAUUUUCCUUUUAAUUGUUUUUAUUCUAUAUUAAAUUUUUAAUUCAUAAGAUUAAUAAAAACAACACCUUUUGAAAUCUACGAGUAGUUUUUAUAUAACCAACCUUUACAAAUUUCAGGAAUAUUUUUUUGAUUCAUUAACAAUUUUUUGAAGUCAUGGUUGUUUUUUUAUUUCUAAAUAUUUUUCAAGUUCAUGAAUAUUUUUCAAAUUUGUGAUAUUUUUAAAAUUCUCAAAUACUUCAUAUUUUUUUAUUCAAGUGUAUGUUGUAUAACUCAUGAAUAUUUUUCUAAAUCUGUUAUCUUUUCCUAAAUUCGUAAACAUUUUUCUAAAUUCACAAAAAACAAAUUCAUGAAAAUAAAUAUGAAGAUAAACAAUACCAAGUCACUAUCCUUAUAUCCAUCAUUAGAUAUAUUUUCAUAAUCUAGUCAUUCAAUAUUAUAGUUGUUGAUAUUUUCUUCUAUAUAUUUGGUCAAAUUUAGAGAGAGUUGGCUUUUUGACUGAAAUUUGUACAACAUCUAUUUGGGGACAGAGGGAGUAGUGAAUAGUGUUUGUACUGUAAAGGAUUUGCAGUCCGUGAGUCAAGUUACUCUGUGUUUUUUAACAUAGUACAGACGCAAGCGCUCAUACAUACGCGCAUACACUCAACCCUAUGAACGCACACAUGCACACCCUACCCAUAUGAGCACCUUCGAGAGACUGAGCGGCAUAUCAUCUUGAUAUUUACGAAGUCACUGUAGACUCGUCGUCGUCGACGGGAACGUCUCUUCUCACUGAAAGCGCAUCGCCGGAAAUCCUGAAAUAAAUUCAGGAAUAAAGCGAGCACCAGGACUUGAACCCUGGUGGGCUGGGGAUACCACUGCCCGUCUAACCAUCGAACCAUAUGGGGUGUGGAUGCACCUAUGAGUCAUGGACAGCGGGAAUCUAAUUUCGCUAGAAAACCCUCACUCUGCAGUAAUGGGCCAACCGAUUCCCAAAUAGGUCAACCUUUUAAACUGCCUGCUGAAUCCAUGAGCAGGCAAGAGACAACCUGAUGAACUGAAACAUCUUAGUAGGCAGAGGAAAAGAAAGCAAAAGCGAUUCCCGUAGUAGCGGCGAGCGAAAUGGGAGCAGCCUAAACCGUGAAAACGGGGUUGUGGGAGAGCAAUACAAGCGUUGUGCUGCUAGGCGAAGCUAUACGUACUAGUUUUCUUGGUUUUGGGAAGGUUAUGUAAGGUUUUGCACUAUUUUGUUGUGUGUGUUUCUUUGUCGGUUUCUCAAGUCUUUUUGGUUACUAUUUUCCUUUUUAUUAUUUUUAUUCUAUAUUAAAUUUUUAAUUCAUAAGAUUAAUAAAAACAACACCUUUUGAAAUCUACGAGUAGUUUUUAUAUAACCAAGCUUUACAAAUUUCAGGAAUAUUUUUUUGAUUCAUUAACAAUUUUUUGAAGUCAUGGUUGUUUUUUUAUUUCUAAAUAUUUUUCAAGUUCAUGAAUAUUUUUCAAAUUUGUGAUAUUUUUAAAAUUCUCAAAUACUUCAUAUUUUUUAUUCAAGUGUAUGUUGUAUAACUCAUGAAUAUUUUUCUAAAUCUGUUAUUUUUUCCUAAAUUUGUAAACAUUUUUCUAAAUUCACAAAAAACAAAUUCAUCAAAAUGAAUAUGAAGAUAAACAAUACCAAGUCAAUAUCCUUAUAUCCAUCAUUAGAUAUAUUUUCAUAAUCUAUUCAUUCAAUAUUAUAGUUGUUGAUAUUUUCUUCUAUAUAUUUGGUCAAAUUUAGAGAGAGUUGGCUUUUUGACUGAAAUUUCUACAACAUCUAUUUGGGGACAAAGGGAGUAGUGAAUAGUGUUUGUACUGUAAAGGAUUUGCAGUCCGUGAGUCAAGUUACUCUGUGUUUUUUAACAUAGUACAGACGCAAGCGCUCAUACCUACGCGCAUACACUCAUCCCUAUGAACGCACACAUGCACACCCUACCCAUAUGAGCACCUUCGAGAGACUGAGCGGCAUAUCAUCUUGAUAUUUACGAAGUCACUAUAGACUCGUCGUCGUCGACGGGAACGUCUCUUCUCACUGAAAGCGCAUCGCCGGAAAUCCUGAAAUAAAUUCAGGAAUAAUGCGAGCACCAGGACUUGAACCCUGGUGGGCUGGGGAUACCACUGCCUGUCUAACCAUCGAACCAUAUGGGGUGUGGAUGCACCUAUGAGUCAUGGACGGCGGGAAUCUAAUUUCGCUAGAAAACCCUCACUCUGCAGUAAUGGGCCAACCGAUUCCCAAAUAGGUCAACCUUUUAAACUGCCUGCUGAAUCCAUGAGCAGGCAAGAGACAACCUGGCGAACUGAAACAUCUUAGUAGGCAGAGGAAAAGAAAGCAAAAGCGAUUCCUGUAGUAGCGGCGAGCGAAAUGGGAGCAGCCUAAACCGUGAAAACGGGGUUGUGGGAGAGCAAUACAAGCGUUGCGCUGCUAGGCGAAGC
RNAcentral lists this long non-coding RNA (2749 nucleotides) under Triticum aestivum (bread wheat). Its description in RNAcentral is "long non-coding RNA (TAES_LNC017318)". The stretch from base 2441 to 2749 matches the Rfam family "Bacterial large subunit ribosomal RNA", at positions 1 to 339 of the family's 2925-position model. Lineage: Eukaryota; Viridiplantae; Streptophyta; Magnoliopsida; Poales; Poaceae. The record is from RNAcentral.